CAGUAGCCACGGUAAUACGAAGGGGGCUAGCGUUGUUCGGAAUUACUGGGCGUAAAGCGCACGUAGGCGGAUAUUUAAGUCAGGGGUGAAAUCCCGCAGCUCAACUGCGGAACUGCCUUUGAUACUGGGUAUCUUGAGUAUGGAAGAGGUUAGUGGAAUUGCGAGUGUAGAGGUGAAAUUCGUAGAUAUUCGCAGGAACACCAGUGGCGAAGGCGGCUAACUGGUCCAUAACUGACGCUGAGGUGCGAAAGCGUGGGGAGCAAACAGGAUUAGAUACCCGUGUAGUCCCUGUCUCUUAUAC
RNAcentral lists this ribosomal RNA (301 nucleotides) under uncultured bacterium. Its description in RNAcentral is "partial 16S ribosomal RNA". It matches the Rfam family "Bacterial small subunit ribosomal RNA", at positions 509 to 807 of the family's 1533-position model. The record is from RNAcentral.